GGGCACUGCCGGGUGACCCUGGAAAUCCAGGGUGGGUGAGGCCUGUCUCCGACCCUUUCCAGGCGACCCACUCUUGGUUUCCAGGGUUGCCC
This 92-nucleotide microRNA precursor is filed under the name Microcebus murinus (gray mouse lemur). Its description in RNAcentral is "miRNA (ENSMICG00000041960.1)". The stretch from base 14 to 89 matches the Rfam family "mir-551 microRNA precursor family". Lineage: Eukaryota; Metazoa; Chordata; Mammalia; Primates; Cheirogaleidae. The record is from RNAcentral.